Molecule: long non-coding RNA, 32763 nt
Filed under: Citrus maxima (pomelo)
Lineage: Eukaryota; Viridiplantae; Streptophyta; Magnoliopsida; Sapindales; Rutaceae
Description: long non-coding RNA (CMAX_LNC000490)
Source: RNAcentral
CUAACGGGUGCCAGUUAUGCCAUUACAAAUUAUCCCCUCUUCAUACAUUUCCUUAAAAUUCUUCUGAAACACCAAAACUAAAUAAUCGAAUAUGGCUUUGCGGGUCGAUGAUGCCAGCAACAAUGAGGCUGCAAUUAUCACUUGUUUAGUUUCUAUGCUUGCCGUGGUUUAUUUCGUAUGGAAUGUGAACAAAUCAAGGAAAGCAAAUGCUAAACUGCCACCAGGACCUCGCGGUUUGCCUGUAGUCGGAUACCUCCCAUUUCUCGGAACUACUGACUUGCACAAGAAAUUCACGGAAUUAUCCGGAGUUUAUGGUCCGAUCUUCAAGCUCUGGCUCGGAAAUAAAUUAAGUGUCGUGGUGAGCUCACCUUCCCUAGUUAAACAAGUGGUUCGUGAUCAAGAUACAACAUUCGCAGACCGUGACCCGCCGAUCUCAGGACUAGUGACCUCCUUUGGUGGCAAUGAUAUUACAUGGUCCAAUUACGGUCCCGAAUGGAGAAAGUUGCGCAAAUUUUUUGUGGGCAAGAUGAUGAGUAACGCAAGCCUUGAUGCUUGUUAUGCUUUAAGAAAACAUGAGGUUAAAAAUACUAUCAGGGAUUUGUAUAACAACGGCAACAAAAUUGGUAAGCCCAUUGACAUUGGUGAAUUGUCGAUUUCAACAUUGGUAUGUGCUAUGCAGAACAUGCUGUGGGGUGAAGCGCUUGAAUUAAAAGAGAAAGGGACAACUAAUCUUGGGGUUGAGCUAAAAUUUAAGUUUGCAGAACUCAUGGUGCUACUGGGAACACCGAAUAUUUCGGAUAUCUUUCCAAUGCUUUCUUGGCUCGACAUACAAGGUAUAGAGAGGAGAGCAAAGAAGAUUUCACUCUGGUUUGAAAAAAUUAUAAAUUCUACUGUUGAAAAGUAUAGAAGCAAGGACUUUAAUGUUGAAGGUAAAGAAAGAGCAGGGGAAAAUUUUGAAGGAUCAAGGAACAAGAACUUCUUGCAGUUACUAUUGGAGCUUCAAGAAAAUGAAGACGGUUCUUCCUCAAUUAGCAUGAACCAAUUUAAGGCCGUACUCGUGGUAUGUUAAGAAACUAGCCGCAAACAGUUAUACAAGCACAGCUGUAUAUUUUGCAUGAGUGAUAUUUUCAACCUUUUUUUUUUAUAAUUAGAAUUUUAUUGUAACCUUUUGGACAGGAUAUAAUUACGGCUGGAACCGACACCACAACUACGAUGGUGGAAUGGACAAUGGCAGAGUUGAUGCAGCAUCCACAAAUAAUGAAGAAAGUUCAGGAAGAAUUAGCUCAAGUUGUGGGCAUGGACAGUUGUGUUGAAGAAUUUCAUUUGCCUAAAUUGAAAUAUUUAGAUGCUGUGGUGAAAGAAUCGUCUCGUCUGCAUCCUGCAGUGCCUUUAUUACUACCACGCAGAGCAAGCGAGAGUGGCAGCAUUGGUGGCUAUAACAUUCCCAAAGAUACAACUAUUAUGUUGAAUGUUUGGGCAAUCCACAGGGACCCUAAACUUUGGGAUAAUCCCUUAGAAUUUCGACCCGAGAGGUUUCUAGAUGAUGGUAUCGCGAGUAAGUUCGAUUACUCAGGUAACAAUUUUCAGUACUUGCCAUUUGGUUCUGGUAGAAGGAUGUGUGCUGGGAUUCCUCUAGCUGAGAGGAUGCUGAUGUUUGUUUUGGCUUCGUUAUUGCACUCAUUUGAGUGGGAAUUGCCAGCUGGCACAAAGCUAAACUUAUCUGAAAAAUUUGGGAUUGUCAUUAAGAAAAAAGAGCCUUUAGUUGCUAUUCCAACACCAAGACUAUCCAAUUCAGAGCUCUACCAUUAAGACAGAAUGGUUGUGAUGAUUUUGUUAAUUUCCGAAGAUUUGUAUGUUAUGUCAAGUUCAAUCGUAAUAAAAUAUUUCAAAUAAGAGUCCUCCGUUGCUUUUUUUUUUUUUUUCAACCGCAUAAUCUGUCGUCAUGCUUGUAUUUGGGGCUACUUUGGAAUAAUUAUGUUUGAAUUACAAUAUAUAAAUAUUACAUUUUAAAAUUUUAUGAGAUUCUAAAUUUAUACACGUUCAAUAACCCACUUCAUAUAUGUUUAACACAAUUUAUAUCAUACAUUGUAUACCCAUUUGUCAUAAAUUACGCUAUUUUAUAUCUCUAAAUAAUAUUACAUAUUGAUAUUAUAAAAUGUUGUUAACUCACGUGUGUAUAUAUAUAUAGCAAGUCACGUGCAUAUAUUAUUGGUUGUUAUAUGUUUGCUAGUUUGAUAGGAUUUCCUUUCCUUGUGAACUAGGGUAAUUCUUAUGUACAUAUAAAUAUUGAUCAAUAAGAGUGCAGAUGAUGACUGCAGUUUUGCAUCGUAGAAAUUCUUCGUAAAAUAUAUAUGUUUAUCAAAAGGCUAUACCAUUCAAUAUAUAUUGGAAAGAGAACAAAGAAGAUCUUCUUAUGGUUUGAAAAUAUUAUGAAUUCUGCUGUUGAACAGUAUGGAAACAAGGUCUGUUGUUAAAGGUGAAGAAGUCACAGGGAACAAUAUUGAAGGAAGAAAUUUCACGUUUAGUUGCUGAAUUUGCCGCUGUAUUCUAUCGGUAGUAAAAAGAUUAGAGUUUUUAUUUUUCUCUAUUAAUGUUAAGUCAAUUUUCUAUAACAAAUUCGGUUGAGUUUAAUUGUGUUACAAUAUAAAUUGAAUGAUAGUAGAAUUUUCAACGAAUAAUUCAAUAUUUCUAUCUCGAUUGUUGAAGUGCCAUUUAUUUGUUAUACGAUCGAUUUUAAAAUUUAUAAAAUUAUUUGUUACUAAAUUGCAUCAUAUGCUAAAUCACCUGAAACCUAAUUUCAUAACUAACCCUUUAUUUUUAGUUCUCAAGAAAUCUUGUAAGAACAAAAUUCUUUUGUAACAAAACGUUUACAACAAAUUAAUUUGUAACUCAUUCCUGUGCGAGAAUCACUCUCAAUUUCCUUCAAUUGCUGUUUAACAAUCAUCUGCUUAUCAAAAUUCAAGCAUAAUCUUUUUUUUUAAUUUCUUCAUCAUUCUUUUGAAAAAAAAAAUCAGGAUAUGCUGUUAAAUUUUGAAAUAAAUUAUCUCAAAAUAAUUACUAACCAGAAAAAACAAAGGGGUUUAACUAGGUUAUGCAUACCUUUGAAAAUUAUAUGUUGAUCGAUAAGAAUGAUGAUCACGAUUGACGAGUUUAAUUAAAAUAUAUAAGAUUUUAAAAUUAAUCAGGGUUAAAUUGUGAAUUUUAGAAAGAGAGGUUUUGUGAGAAUGUUGAAAGGGUGUUAAUAGUUCCACUCUUUUUAAAAACAACCAUAGUCAUCAUUUUUCCAUGGUUGUUUUUAAAAAGAGUAUUUCUUCUUCCCAUCUCCAUCUUAUUUAGAAAUUUCCCAGAGCCUUUGUUUCCCACCUUUCAUUUUUCUUCUUUCUAAUUUAAUAAUCCACCCUUCUUGUAUUCAAACUAAAAAAUUAAAAUCUGAAAAUUUAAAACCCAAUAUUAUAGUAUUAUAAAAAUAAUUACUCACAUUUUAUCAAACACCUCCAUUCUUCCAAGGCCUUGUUUUAGUAGUAGGCUUUUAUUAUCUCAAUAAAAUUGAAAAAAAAAAUCUCAAUAAUAUUGGAAAAAAACCCUACCCAUAUUUGUAACUUUAAUUUAUUAUUCUCCAUAGACCUACUUUUUAGUUUUGAAUUUUGUUGGAGCCAUAUAUAAACAGAAUAUGUUGAAAUCAGCACCCAAAAAAAAAAAAACUAAUUAUAUAAUUUAUGUUCCCAAGGACAUGGCUGAGUGAUUUUCAAGAAGUUUUGUUUGGCUGGCCACUUAGGUUUAAAUCUUGGUGGAGAUUAAGGGUUAAGAAAUAAAUUUAGACUUUGCACACCCCUUUAACUUUUAAAAAGAAAUGAAAAAAUUAAUUAAUUAAUCUUUAUUUUAUUUAUUAAAUGUCAUAAUCCUAUGCGUAUUUUAUUUGUUAUCUUUCUAUUUAAAAGACGAGGGCAGAUAAAACUGAAAUAAAUUUUUAGCCCUAUCUCCAUAUUUCAAGUUCCAUAGUUAGGUGACCAGCUAAAAAAAAUUAAUUGAAAGCUACUCCAUCAAAUUAAAAAAAUUUAUUUAUUUAAUUUGUGGAGAUGUAGAAAAUCAAACCCCAUACCUUUUCGCAUACACUGAACAUAUUUUAAUACAUGACUAUCAUCCUUUAUCCUAAAUACUACUAUAACUAAUAACAUACAAUUGAAAUAAUUAAUGUUAACACUUGGCUAUAAAUAAAGGUUUUGUGCUUGAAUCUUCACGCAUGACCUUCAUUCCUUUAUUGACUUUGCUAACACAGAUUUUGAGGCAUUAAAACUAAAUAAUAAUUGACUUUGUGGGCCGAGGAUGCCAGCAACAAGGAGACCACAAUUAUCACUUAAGUUACUCUAAUUGCCGUUGUCUUAUAUUCAUAGAAUAUUAGUAAUAAGAUUAUUGCAGAAUUUUUUUAAUAUUAAAAUUAAGUCAAUUUGUUAUAACAAAUUUAGUUGAGUUUAAUCGUGUUACUACAUAAAUUGAAUAAUAAUAGAAUUCUCGACAAAUAUUUCAAUAUUUUUAUCCCAAGCGUUGGAGUGGCAUUUAUUUGUUAUACGAUCGAUUUUAGAACUUAUAAAAUUAUUCGUUACUGAAUUGCACCAUAUGCUGCAUGACCUGAAACUUAAUAAACGGAAUGUAGCGUUGGCACCGUUACUCAACAUACUGUUACGACUUUGUGACAUUAGAAUUAAAAUCUUUUGCACAUUUAAUUUGUUUACUUCAAAAUUAAUAUUUAACAAAAUAUUUUUUUCACAUUAUCAAUGGACAAAACUCCAACGAAAAUAACUACACAAGAAAAAUGUAUGCUAGUAUUGUGUGCCAUAUCAUCUGUAAUUUUGUCAGGAUCGAACACUCUAAUUUUUAAGCAGAACUUUUUAUCAAUGGACAAACACCUCACACAGCUUGUCAGAGGCAUUAUUAUGAUAGAAAACUGUAAUGGUAUAUCUUGAAUUAUUGGUAGAAUAGUUCUUUGGAGCAAUAAAAAUAGAUAAGACAGAUGAGAAAAUUGUCAAUACCCCACCGCAAAAGCAAAAGAAAAAAAGGAAAGGAGACAAAAGAGGAAGAAGAAAAAAAGGAAAGGAGACAAAAGAGGAAGAAGAAAAAGAAAAAAGAACGAAGAAAAAAAUGGUGCCGCGCUGUAUUGGGAAGAAGAAAAAAAUUAAUAAAAUAAUAAUAAAUAAUAAAUAAUAAAUAAUAAAAUAAUAGUGCACAACAAUCAUUUGAUUGCUAUAAAUAAAGGGGCAUUUUCCUCAUUUUAUUCAUCGAAUUCUUCAGUUCCUUUCAAGCGAUUUAAGAGUCUAGUGAUUUGAGAGUUUGGGAGUAUUGUGAUUUUGAGUACUAAGUUAAAAUACUAUAAUACUUGUAACUCAUUUUCACUAGUAAAAUAUUUUUCUUCUGUCUUCGCCCGUAGACGUAGGCUAAAAGCUGAACCACGUAAUUUCUGGUGUCCCUAUGUGAUUAUGUGUCUCAUUAUUUCUCAAUUUUACUUUAGUUACGUGUCUGCUACACCCUUCAAUUUACUAACAAAAAUGGCCAAAAUUAUAUAAGUGACCCAAAUUUUUUUGCUAUUUCCAAGAAAUCCCCAAUCGGAAUAGACCAAACUAGAGGGAGGCAAGUUAGAAAUACGUUUCCUUCAUAAACAAUAACAGCGAUGAGUCGAUGACAUCGAGCCACGUCGGUAUCAAUAUUGAAUUAAAGGUGCAAUUAUUCAGCCAAUGAGCCUUACACAUCAAGAUAAAAGUCAAGAAAAUGAAAAAUUUAUCCUAAUUAAAACACUUUCUGGCUGCAUUUAGCUGUUUCUAUUUGAAGUUAAAAACAACAUUUCUUUCGUUUUGUGGGCAACUCGACUGAGUUCGCUGGCUUCUAGUGCUAGUAUGUGAAAAUAGAAGGCUAAUGAUUUAUUUGUUAUCUUUUGACAAAAAAUGUUAAAGAUAUAAUAGAUUUUCCAUGAUACAAAUGAAAAAUUAUAUCAACAUAACUUCCAAGCUACAGCAGCUAGUGUUUACCAAACACUUUGCUGUAGCUUUUAAGCUACAGCUGCCCAACCUCAAUAGGUUGAUUGAAUUUGUGGGAUAUAGAUUCCACAUAUCUCAUGACCUAUUAAUUAUACAAGUGGUUCUUGAUCAAGAACAACAUUUGCUUCCGACCCAGUAACCCAGCAACUGCUGCACUGGUCGCCACCUAUGGUGCCGACGAUAUUGCAUGGUCCAAUUAUGGCCUUGAAUGGAAAAAGUUGAGCAAAUUAUUUGUGGGCACGAUGAUAAGUAACGCAAGCCUUGAUGCUAGUUAUGGUCGAAGAAAACAAGAGGUUAAGAAUACUAUCAGAGAUAUGCAUAACAACAAAAAGGAAAAAAAAAAAAAAAGGCAUUGGCAAGUCAAUUGAUAUUGCUGAAUUGUCGAUUUCAACUUUGGCAUGUGUAAUUCAGACAUUGCGCGUUGUGGUAUGGCGCUGGCACGCUUGCAUUGCCGAGAGGACAAAUCUUGGGGCUGGGCUAAAAUUUAGGCUUGUAGAACUCAUGGUGCUAAUGGGAACGCCAAAUUUUUUUAACAUAUUUCGGUGCUUUCAUGGUUUAAUUCAAGGUAUAGAAAGGAGUGUUGAGAAUGUCAAAUAAAACGACAUUGAAUGGAAGUUGUCAAAGACAUGAUCCGCACUGAACGGCAAUGACACGGUUGGUAAAGAUUUUUUCAUAAUAUGCGUAUCUAAUUUUUGAAAAAUUGUAACCUCUGCUUCUAUAAAUAUGCUCAAUGUAUAAUGUUUUACUUAAGAAAUGAAAAACUUAAUUCUUUAUGGUAUCAGAGCGAGGCUCGUUGCUCUGUUUGUAACAAAAACAAAGAAAACUAAAUUCUUCCCACAACUAUUUUUCCACCUUUUUUUCUUCCUUAAAAGCAUUCCUAGCAUUACAGAAACCCAUGCCAAUAAAAGAACAAGCCACACAUAUGUAAAAACUUUAGUUUACAAAUCUAUCAACAUCCCCAUAAAUUUUCCCAAAAAGUGAUCUUCAAAAACCAAAAAUACCAUCAAUUUUCGCAUCUUCUAGUAAACAAACUAUAAAAGUUUCGCACUCAAACAGAGCCACACGCGCCUCCACGCGCUUCCCGGAAUCACGGCCAACCACCACGCGCCUCUGUCACCACCAACUCACCCUCAUGCGCUCCAGAUGUUGCAGAAGACGCAAAACGACGUGUCGUUUUCUUCUCUAAAAGUGCAGCAACGUGGAAAUGACUUUUUGUUUUUGCCUUAAAUUGUUUUUCCUCGUUUGAAGCUAUACAACAUUUUUCUUUCUAAACCUGUUUUUUACAAUAAAAAAAGAAAAAAAUGGAGAAAACUCCAACUGAAUCUACUCAUGUUGUCAUUCAAUCUGUUCAACCUGAUGGAGUAUUUAAUGCCGAAAUUAUCCUUACUAAGACAAACUACGAUAUUUGAUCUCAAAUAAUGGAGAUGCAUCUCGCAGAAAGAAAAAAACUCCCAUAUAUUCGUAGCAGCAUAAAUCCAUCUGACAAAUUUUCAAAGAAAUAUGAGAAAUGGUAUAGUGAGAACCAAAAAGUAAAAAGAUGGUUACUCAUAACCAUGUGUCCUGAGAUCAUGAAGCGAUAGUUACAAAUUCCUACAGCCUACGAAAUUUAGAAUGCAUUAUCAAAAGCCUUUUAUAAUGGAAGCGAUGAAAUACAAGUUUUCACUCUAAAUCAGAAGGCGUUCUCUACGAAGCAAAAUGGACAACCACUCUCUAAAUUCUACGGAGAAUUGAUCAAAAUGUUUCAAGAACUUAAUCACCGAGAUAAAGUGGUCAUGAAGGAUCCAGAAGAUGUUAUAAUAUAUAGGAAGUUUGUUGGAAGAUUGAGAGUGCACAUUUUUCUUGCUGGACUAGAUGAAGAAUUUGACCAAGUUUGUGGAGAAAUUCUACGAAAAGAUACUAUCCUAGACUUAAAAGAAUGUUAUUCUCUAAUCCGAAAAGAAGAUGUACGGCAAAGCAAACUAACAAGAAGGUGGACGACUCAGAAACGUCUGCUAUGAUACCACAAGAGAACAAUGUUUUGAAAUUGUUCGAUAUCCUGACUGGUGGGAUACUCGAAGUAAUAACACAAAGCAGAGAUAAAAAACUGCAGUAGCUGAAUCCACAUCCACUACAGAUCUUAGAAAAGAAUCUUCAGCGCAAAUUGCAACCUCUGUCAAUUCAGGUAAGGUCAUUAAAACUCUUACAUUUGUUAUUAAUAGUAUAUGGAUAAUUGAUUAUGGUGCAACUGAUCAUAUGACUUUUGAUUCUUGACAAGUUUCUUAAUUGAAACCAUCUUCACAUAAACAUGUUUCUACUGUAAAUAGAACCACAACCUCAGUUAUUGGGGAAGGAUCUUUACAACUCACAAUUAAAUCAAAUUUAGACUUUGUGUUAAUUGUUCCAUCUUUAAAUUAUAAUCUUUUAUAUGUGUCUCAAAUAACCUCUUACUUAUCAUGUGUUGUAAUGUUUUGGCCCGAUCAUUGCAUGUUUAAGGACAUCCAAAUGAAGGAAACGAUUGGUUAUGAUAUUAAAUAAGGCAACUUGUAUUACCUGGAGAUGACAUCAACAAACACUGAAAAGCUAAGCCCCGCAUUAGUAGCAGACAAUUCCAUGAAAAAAAAGGAAAUAAGAAAUUUGGUUAUGGCAUAGACGAUUAGGGCAUGUGUCAUUUGAUUUCUUAAAAAAAUUGUUUCCUAGUUUGUUUCUGAAAUUUGAUAUUUGUAACUUUAAAUAUGAUGUUUGUGAACUUUCAAAUAGCCAUCGAACUACUUUUCCAUUGUCCUUAAAUAAGAAUCCAAUUCCUUUAAUGGUAGUACAUUCUGAUGUAUAGAGACCAUCUAAAGUUUCUACCAUUGGAAGAGCUCGUUGGUUUGUUACAUUUAUUGAUGAUUGUAGCAGAAUGACAUGGAUUUUUUUAUGAAAUUAAAAUCAUAUGAUGGUGACAACUCUAUUUCAGACACAAAUUUGAGUUCUACAUACUGAUAAUGGAGGCGAGUAUAUGAGCACAACAAUUCAACAGUUUUUGAAAUCACAAUGAACUCACCACCAAACCACUUGUGUGGGGACACUCCAACAAAAUGGCGUUGCUAAACAAAAAAAUAGACAUUUACUAGAAGUUGUUCAAGCAUCACUAAUUUAGGCCCGCAUGCCACUAUUUUAUUGGGGAGAAGCAUUGGCAUCCGUAGCAUACUUGAUCAAUCGGACACCUUCAAUCUUCCUUGGAUUCCAAACUUAUUUUCUAGUUCUAAAUGAAGAAUUAUGUCAUCAAAUGUGUCGAAUUUACCCCCACAUAUGUUUGGUUGUGUUGCCUUCGUUCAUUUGCCAUGACAAGAUAAAUUAUCUCCUCGAGCACUACGUUGUGUGUUUGUAGGGUAUGCCUUACAUCAAAAGGGGUACCGAUGCUAUCAUCCUCUAUUAAGAAAAAAUAUACAUCACCAUGGACAUAAUCUUUCAUGAAGAUAUCAUGUAGUACCCAUCGGAGCUUGAAUUUCAGAGGGAGUAUAAUGAAGAGGAAAUUCAUACUCUUACAUAUCUUUCACCUGAAGAAGAUCAAUCCUCCAUUGAGGUAGUAAACGUUCAAGAUACUGGAAAAGAAAACGACAAUGAUUCUCAGGCUGAGACAAGUGAAGACACAUUUAGGGAGCAAAAUAACUCAGACAUAACCACAAUCGAGAACGAGUCCAUGAAGAGCCACAUGAAGAAAUAUCUAACCAAUCAUCUGCAGAGGAUGAUCCUACCACAAAUCCCAGUCUAAUCAGAAGAAUACUUCCCCAGCAUCAAAAUAGAGGUAUCUCUAAACCCACAUAUAAGACUGACCUCUCUAGUAGAGUCAAAUACCCUAUGAGUCAUUUUGUAUCUAACCAUGGCUUAUCAAAAUCAAAUCAGUCAUUUGUGAAUCAAUUAUCUACUGUGUCUAUUCCUAACAGUGUGCAAUAAGCCUUAAAAUAUCGAAAGUGGAAAGGGCUAUGAAUGACGAAAUGAGAUCUCUUUAAAAAAAAUCAAACAUGGGAACUAAUUGAUCUUCCACCAGGAAAGAAACCAGUGGGUUGCCGAUGGAACUAGUUGAUCAUCCACCUCCAUUCUGACAAGCAAUGUUUAUCAGCAAUAACAAAUGACUGAAGCAUUUUAAUGAGGUUAGUAACGAAAAAGAGUUUAAUUAGAGAAUAUUAUAAGAGAAAUUCUAAUUUUUGAUUUUUAAUAAAUUAAAAUAUCUUAAAAUAUUAUUAGUUGGUGGUGGUUUCAUGUCAGAUUAAGACGUGACACCUUACUAAUGAGGUCGAGACAAUUAGCUUAAAUUAUUUCAAUGCAUUUGAAAUUUCCACUAAUGACUAUAAUUCUUUGUCCUAAUUACUAUGAUAAUUAAUAACAUACAAUUGAAAUAGUUAAUAUUAGCACUUGGCAAUAAAUAAUUAAAUUUCAUUAACACUAAAUAAUAAUUGAAUAUGGCUUUGUACAUCGAUGACGCCAGCAACAAGGGGACCGCGAUUAUCACUCUUUAAGUUGCUUUUAAAAUUGAUUUUAGUAGUGAUAUGAUUAUUGUAGUGUUUUUAUUUUUUAUAUUAAAAUUAAGUGAUUUGUUAUAAUAAACUUAGUUGAGUUUAAUGGUAUUACUACAUAAAUUGAAUAGUUAUCAAAUAUUUUAAUAUUUUUAUGGCAAGCGUUGACGUGGCAUUUAUUUGUUGUAUGAUGGAUUUUAAAAUUUAUAAAAUUAUUUGUUAUUAAAUUACCCCCAGAUGCUACAUCACCUGAAACUUAAUAAAGGUAUGAAGACAUGUGUGUGUGGACUGAAAUGAAGAAUAUGGAAAAGUUGAGAGCUGUUGUGCAGAUUGAGUUCAGUUGAUGGGGUCUAUUAGAUAUUGUCUGCUGACGUGGCAUGAAUUCGUUAUAAUCUGUUAUAACGAGUUCAGUAUAUCAGUAUACAAUAGAGCUGAUGGAUGGUGCCUGUUUUAGAGUCUUUUUUAUAUUCAUUUGUUCAUCAUUUUGCGCAAGAUCUGUUCCAUUGUGAUAUGUGUAAAGUCUUAUGUAAACCCACUUAUGAUUGGAUUAGUUCUUGAUUAAUAACAACGAGUAAAUUUUCCUUCAAGUGUGCUGGUCUGUGCCCCUGUUUUUUGUUCUGAUAUUGUUUCUUUGUUCUGGCAUUUCAUUUCGAUUGUGUUCUUGGUGUUUCUACUCAUCAAGAUUUAUGAGUCUUGUUGAGAUUAAAGACUUAAUAGUCUUAACAAGUGGUAUCAGAGCCUGGUGAAUCUCAGCCAUGUCUCUUUCGAAGCAUGAAAUUGAAAAAUUCACCAUUGGUGGUGAUUUCUCGCUUUCGAAAUUAAAAAUGAGGGCUCUCCUUGUGCAUUAGAGGCUUGAAUUUGCUCUGGAAAAAGAUAAUCUAGAGGCUGCUACAAGUUAUGUGACUGAUGAUAAGAAGAGACAAAUCCAAAACCGAGCUCGUAGCACUCUAGUUUUGAGUCUUGGUGACUCAAUCUUGAGAAAGAUUUCUGAAGAGAAGACAACCUUAGGGAUUUGGAACAAGGUAGAAGCUUUGUGUACAAAGAAGUCGCUAGCUCACAGACUAUUCUUGAAGAAAAAGUUAUACACAUUCUCGAUGAGAGAAGGAGUCACAAUUCAAGAUCACAUUGAUACCUUCAACAAGAUCAUUCUUGAUCUUGAAGGGGUGGAAAAUGUGACAAUAAGUGAUGAAGAUAAAGCCUUCUUCUUGUUGAGUUCCUUACCAAAGUCUUAUGAAGGCUUUGUAGAUACAAUGCUUUAUGGCAGAACAACAUUGACUCUUGAAGAUGUUAAAGCAUCUCUAAGUUCAAAAGAGAUUCAGAAGAACAAUGAGAUUGAAACAAAUAAUGGUGAUGGGCUGAUUGCCAGAUCAGAAAAGAAGAAAGAUCAGAAGAAUAAAAAUCAGGGAAAAUGACAUGGAAAGAAUUAAGAAAAUGCAGACAAGAAGAAAAAGAAGAGAAAAUGCUUCUACUGCCGGAAGGAAGGGCAUUACAUCAGGGAUUGUCUUAAAAAGAAAAAAAAAGAAAGUCAAGAGAAGUCAGGGGAUGCAGCUGUAGCCUCUGAUGAUGCCUCUGAUGGAUAUCACAUUGCUGAUUUACUUGUGGCCUCAAAUAGCAAUACUAAAGGUCAGUGGGUCAUAGACUCUGAGUGCUCUUUUCACUUGUGGCCUGAUAAAACCAUAUUUUACAAAUAUGAAGUUGUUGAUGGUGGUAGAGUCUUAAUGGGAAAUAAUAAUGUGUGUAAUCUUGUUGGUAUUGGUUCUGUGAAGAUCAAGAUGUUUGAUGGAACUGUAAGAGCUCUACAUGAGGUGAGGCAUGCUCCUAGGCUAAAGAGAAAUCUAAUCUCUUUAGGCAUGCUAGACAGCUUAGGGUAUUUCUUUAAAUCAGAAAGUGGUGGUUUAGAGAUAAGAAAGGGGACUGAGAUAGUGAUGAAGGGGGUUAAAGAAAAUGGCUUAUAUGUAUUGUAAGGCUCAUCAGUGCUUCUUCAAAAGGGAAUUUCUGCUCUUUUUGAGGAAGAUAUAACCAAGUUAUGACAUCUUAGACUUGGUCAUAUGAGUGUCAAAGGGAUGUAAGAGCUCAGCAAACAAGGGCUACUUGGUGGGGAUAGAAUCCAGCAACUGGAAUUAUGUGAAAAUUGCAUUUUUGGCAAAGCUCACAGGUCCAAGUUUCACAAGGGGGAGCAUAUGUCUAAGCAAGUUUUGGACUAUGCACAUGCUGACCUUUGGGGGCCUGCUCAAGUCCCAUCCUUGAGUGGUGGCAGGUAUUUCAUAUCACUAAUUGAUGAUUACUCAAGGAAGAUGUGGGUCUACAUACUCAAGACCAAAGAUCAAGCCUAGGAAAAAAUUCAAGGUAUAGAAAUCUUUGGUAGAAAAUCAAUUUGGAUUCAAGCUCAAAUGCUUGAGAACUGAUAAUGGUUUGGAAUUUUGUAGCAAAGAAUUUGAGGAAUAUUACAAAAAAACAUGGCAUAAAAAGGCACAAAACAGUCAGGUUCACCCCCCAGCAGAAUGGCUUGGCUGAAAGGAUGAACAUGACCUUGGUAGAUAAGACCAGAUGUAUGUUGAUAAAUUCAAAGCUUCCAAGAAGCUUUUGGGCAGAAGCUGUCAAUACAACAAGUUGUUUGGUUAACAGAAGCCCAUAUUCUGCAAUUGGCUUCAAAACACCAGAAGAAUUGUGGAAGGAAAAACCUGUAAAUUACCAAAAUCUCAGUGUUUUUGGAUGCCCUGCUUAUCUCCACAUCAAUCAAGGCAAGCUGGAAGCUAGGGCCUUGAAAGGAGUCUUUGUUGGAUAUCCUGAUGGGGUUAAGGGAUACAUAAUCUGGUGUAGAGAGUAAGGGAAGUGUAUAGUCAGCAGGGAUGUUGUGUUUCAUGAAUUUGGAUUGCUAAAAGAAAAUGCAGAGAAUGAUACUAGACUACAAAAUGAUUCAAUAAUUAUCAAACAAUCUGGAACUUCCAAGGUUAAGGUGGAGCUGUUUGGAAAUAAAGACAGUAGAAAAGAGGUAGCUGAUUAUGAAGAGAGGACCACAGCUAAAGUUGAGGAACAUGAGUCAUCAGAGUUGCCACAAGCUGACUUGCAGACUUAUCAGUUAGCAAGAGAUAGAGUUAGAAGAGAAGUCAAAGCACUAGUGAGGUAUGGCUAUGCUGACUUAAUUACUUAUGCAUUGUUGUGUGCUGAUGAUGUGGCAAUUGAAGAGCCUGCUAACUUCUCUGAAGUUAUUGAAAGUGUGCAUUGUGAUAAGUGGCUUGAGGCAAUGCAAGAUGAAAUGGGAUCCCUUCAAAGAAAUCAGACCUGGACACUUGUUCCAAAUCUAGGUAAUAAAAAGUUGAUCAGUUGUAAGUGGAUCUUCAAGAAGAAUGAAGGAAUUCCAGAUGUUGAACCUCCCAAAUAUAAAGCAAGGCUAGUGGCUAGGGGGUUUACACAGAGAAAGAGUGUAGAUUUCAAUGAAAAAUUUUCCCCUGUUCUUAAGCACAUUUCAAUAAGAAUUUUAUUAGUCAUGGUAGCCUUACUUGACUUGGAGCUUGAGCAAAUGGAUGUAAAAACAGCAUUCCUUCAUGGUAAUCUUGAAGAACAGAUAUUGAUGGCACAACCUAAAUGUUUUGAGUGCAAAGGAAAUGAGGAUUAUGUUUGUUUGCUGCAUAAGUCCUUGUAUGGACUCAAGCAAUCCCCACGACAGUGGUACAUAAGAUUUGAUGAUUUUAUGGUCUCAAAAGGCUAUCACAUAAGCAAAUAUGACAGUUGUGUUUACUUUGGUGGAUCAUAUCAAGGUGGAGUUGCUUAUUUGCUUCUGUAUGUUGAAGAUAUGUUAAUUGCAAGAAAAUAUAAGUUGGAGAUAGAGAGGUUGAAGAAAUGAAGGAUCUCGGCAAUGCCAAAAGAAUCCUUGGGAUGAACAUUACAAGGGGCAGAUCUGCUGACACUUUGUUCUUGAGUCAUGAGAAAUAUAUCAAGAAGGUUCUGGAGAGGUUUGAGAUGCAAGACUAUAAACCUGUCCAAACACCACUUGGUCCCCAAUUCAAGUUGACAGCAGCUCAAUCAUCAGAAGAUGAGUCUCAGGUGAGUGAAUUCCCAUAUGCACAGGUUGUAGGGAGCCUGAUGUAUGUAAUGGUAUGCACCAGGUCAGAUAUAGCUUAUGCAGUAAGUGUUGUCAGCAAAUUUCUCAGUUGUCUAGGCAAGGUUCACUGGAAUGUUGUAAAAUGGAUAAUGAGAUAUCUUAAGGGCUCUUUUACUUGUGGUUUGCUGUAUGGGAAGACUAAGAGUGACAUAAGUGAAGUCCUGGGGUUUGUAGACUCUGACUUUGCUGGAGAUCUUGAUAGAAUGAAGUCAACCUCAGGGUAUAUGUUUGUGUUAAACAGUUGCCUGAUUAGCUGGAAGUCAUCACUUCAGUCUGUGGUUGCUUUAUCCUCAACUGAAGCUGAGUUUGUUGCAACUACAGAGGCAGUAAAAGAGGCCAUGUGGCUAAGAGGUUUGCUUAAUGAGUUAUGGUUAAAUCAGAAAAUUGUUCAGGUUUUCUGUGAUAACCAAAGUGUCAUACACCUGGUAAAGAAUCAGAUGUAUCAUGAAAGAACCAAGCACAUUGAUGUGAAGCUCCAGUUUAUCAGAGAUGAGGUUGGAAAAGGAACUAUAAUUGUGUCCAAGAUCUAUACCAGUGUGAAUCCAACUGAUGUUAUUACAAAAGCACUUCCCACUGCAAAAUUUGAAUUCUAUGUGAAUCUAAUGGGCAUCUCGCCCAAACCUAACUAAAUUCAAUAGUGAAUUGUAGUUGAAUGAAGGUUUUUUAGGUGCUGUGUUAUUGAAAGGAUCAACUGAAUCAACUGCAAGGUGGAGAAUGUGAAGAUGUGUGUGUGGACUGAAAUGAAGAAUAUGAAAAAGUUGAGAGCUGUUGUGCAGAUUGACUUCAGUUGAUGGGGUCUAUUAGAUAUUGUCUGCUGACGUGGUAUGAAUUCGUUAUAAUCUGUUAUAACGAGUUCAAUAUAUCAGUAUAUAAUGGAGCUGAUGGAUGGUGCCUGUUUUAGAGUCUUUUUCGUAUUCAUUUGUUCAUCAUUUUGCACAAGAUUUGUUCCAUUGUGAUCUGUGUAAAGUCUUCUGUAAAUCCACUCAUGAUUGGAUUAGUUCUUGAUCAAUAACGAGUAAAUUUUCCUUCAAGUGUGCUGGUCUGUGCCCCUGUUUUUGGUUCUAAUAUUGUUUCUUUGUUUUGGCAUUUCAUUUCGAUUGUGUGCUUGGUGUUUCUACUCAUCAAGAUUUGUGAGUCUUGUUGAGAUUAAAGGCUUAAUAGUCUUAACAAAAGGGAAUGUAGCAUUGCCAUUAAUCAACAUUCACUCUUAUGACUUUAUGACAUUAGAAUUAAAAUCUUUCGUACAUUUAAUUUAUUUGCUUCCAAAUUAAUCUUUAAUAAAUAUUUUUUCACAUUAUCAUCAAUGGACAAAACUCCAACGAAAAUAACUACACGAGAACAAUUUAUGCUAGUAUUAAAUGCCACGAUAUCUAUAACUUUGUCUGGAUCGAUCAUUCUAAUUUUUUCGCAGAACUUUUUGUCAAUGGACAAACACCUCACAGAGCUUGUCAGCCGCAUUAUUACGAUGUAAAAUUGUACCGGAAUAUCUUGAAUUAUUAGUAGAAUAAUGAAGACUAUUUGGGGCAAUAAAAACAAAUAACGCAGAUAAAAAAAUGGCUAAAAUUAUGUAAGUGAGCCCCAAAGUUUUUGCUAUUUCCAGGAAAUCCCAAAUUUGAAUGGACUAGAGGGAGGCACGUAAGAAAUACAUUUUCUUCCUAGACAAUGACAGCUAUGACAUCAAGCCACGGUGGCGUCAGUAUUGAAAUUAAGGUGUAAUUAUUCAGCCAAUGAGCCUUACACAUCAAGAUAAAAGUCAAGAUAAUGAAAAUUUGGCUGUUUCCAUUUGAAGUUAAAAGCAACGUUUCUUUCGUUUUGUGGGCGACUCGACUGAGCACGCCCCAAUAGCUAUAUUUAGGGCGUCAAUUUGAUAUUUGAAUGGACAGGCAAGUAAGAAAUACAUUUCCUUCAUAGACAAUGACAACGAGGACAUCAAGCCACAUCAUUAUAGUUUGUAGCCCAUCUACAUUUAAACGAUUAAUAAACAAGCUUAGGUGUGCCACUGCUAUUAUUAAUUAUCCCCUGAUCAUUAUAGUUUCUGAAACAGUAAAACUAAACGAAAUUGAAUACAUCAACGAGACCGCAAUUAUCACUUGUUUAGUUGCGGUAUUUAACUUAAUUUUAAUAUAAUAUAUUUGUUAGUUAAACUUUUAAUAAUCAAAUAAUUUUGAUUUAAAAAUAAAAUUAUAGAAAUUAUUAAUUAUUAAUUAUUAAAAAUUCACAAUUAAGGGAACGUUCAUCAAACACACAUAGCUAUUGUUUUCUCUAUAUAUUGCAGUGUGUACGAUAUUGAGGGUUGAAGCCCCAAGCAUGCUCUAAAAUCCAGAUAAUAAUUAGAUCCGGGCCAAAUAUUCAUCAUUGUGUCAGCUGAUCAGUCGGUGGACAUCUCUAUUGAAAAUAUCUCUGACAUUUCACUCGACAAACUUAUUAAUAUAAAAAAUCUGUGGUUUUGCCGUCUGAAUAAUGUAGAAAAAUUUGUCUAUGCAUUAAUCUAGAUGUUUGAGGUGAUUUAUACAUCUGUGGUAAAGAUUUAUAGGUUGACUUAGACGUCUGUGGUAUAGAUUUUAUGUAUUUCAUUACAAAAUGCUGGCCGUUAGAACCCUUUCUACAUCUAUUUAUAAGAUUAACGGGUGCCAGCUAUGCCAUUACAAAUUAUCCCCUCAUCAGAUAUUUCGUUAAAAUUCAUUCUGAAACACUAAAACUAAAUAAUCGAAUAUGGCUUUGCGGGUCGAUGAUGCCAGCAGCAAUGAGACUGCAAUUAUCACUUGUUUAGUUUCUGUGCUGGCCGUGGUUUACUUCGCAUGGAAUGUGAAAAAAUCAAGGAAAGCAAAUGCUACACUGCCACCAGGACCUCGCGGCUUGCCUGUAUUCGGAUACCUCCCAUUUCUUGGAACUACUGACUUGCACAAGAAAUUCACGGAAUUAUCCGGAGUUUAUGGUCCGAUCUUCAAGCUUUGGCUUGGAAAUAAAUUAUGUGUAGUGGUGAGCUCACCUUCCCUAAUUAGACAAGUGGUUCGUGAUCAAGAUACAACAUUCGCGAACCGUGACCCACCGAAGGCUGCACUAGUGGUCUCCUAUGGUGGCAAUGAUAUUGCAUGGUCCAAUUACGGUCCCGAAUGGAGAAAGUUGCGCAAAUUUUUUGUGGGCAAGAUGAUGAAUAACGCAAGCCUUGAUGCUUGUUAUGCUCUAAGAAGACAAGAGGUUAAAAAUACUAUCAGGGAUUUGUAUAACAACGACAACAAAAUUGGCAAGCCCAUUGACAUUGGUGAAUUGUCGUUUUCAACAUUGGUAUGUGCUAUACAGAACAUGCUGUGGGGUGAAGCGCUUGAAUUAAAAGAGAAAGGGACCACUAAUCUUAGGGCUGGGCUAAAAUUUAAGCUGGCAGAACUCAUGGUGCUUGCGGGAACACCGAAUAUUUCGGAUGUCUUUCCAAUGCUUUCAUGGCUUGACAUACAAGGUAUAGAGAGGAGAGCAAAGAAGAUUUCACUCUGGCUUGAUAAUGUUAUAAAUUCUACUGUUGAACAGCAUAGAAACAAGGAGUUAACUGUUGAAGGUGAAGAAAGAGCGGGGAAAAAUUUUGAAGGAUCAAGGAACAAGAACUUCUUGCAGUUACUAUUGGAGCUUCAAGAAAAUGAUGACAGUGCUUCCUCAAUUAGCAUGAACCAAUUCAAGGCCGUACUCGCGGUAUGUUAAGCAACUAGCCACGAACAGUUAUACAAGCACAAUUGUAUAUUUGCAUGAGUGAUAUUUUCAACCUUUUUUUUUAAUUAGAAUUUUAUUGUCACCUUUUGGACAGGAUAUAAUUACGGCUGGAACCGACACCACAACUACGAUGGUGGAAUGGACAAUGGCAGAGUUGAUGCAGCAUCCACAAGUAAUGAAGAAAGUUCAGGAAGAAUUAGCUCAAGUUGUGGGCAUGGACAGUUGUGUUGAAGAAUUUCACCUGUCUAGAUUAAUGUAUUUAGAUGCUGUGGUGAAGGAAACAUUUCGUCUGCAUCCUGCAGUGCCUUUAUUACUACCACGUAGGGCAAGCGAGAGUGGCAACAUUGGUGGCUAUACCAUUCCCAAAGAUACAACUCUUAUGUUGAAUGUUUGGGCUAUCCACAGGGACCCUCACCUUUGGGAUAAUCCCUUAGAAUUUCGACCCGAGAGGUUUCUGAAUGUUGGUAUCGAGAGUAAGUUCGAUUACUCAGGUAACAAUUUUCAGUACUUGCCAUUUGGUUCUGGUAGAAGGAUGUGUGCUGGGAUUCCUCUAGCUGAGAGGAUGCUGAUGUUUGUUUUGGCUUCGUUAUUGCACUCAUUCGAGUGGGAAUUGCCAACUGGCACAAAGCUAAACUUAUCAGAAAAAUUUGGGAUUGUCAUUAAGAAAAAAGAGCCUUUGGUUGCUAUUCCAACACCAAGACUAUCCAAUUCAGAGCUCUACCAUUAAGACCAAAUGGUUGUGAUGAUUUUGUUAAUUUCCGAAGAUUUGUAUGUUAUUUCAAGUUCAAUCGUAGUAAAAUAUUUCAAAUAAGAGUCCUCCGUUGCUUUUUUUUUUUUUUUUCAACGGCAUAAUCUGUGGUCAUGCUUGUAUUUGGAGCCACUUUAGAAAAAUUAUGUUUGAAUUACAAUUUAUAAAUAUUACAUUUUAAAAUAUUAUGAGGCUAAAUUUAUACACGUUCAAUAACCCGCUUCAUAUAUAUUUAACACAAUUUAUAUCAUACAUUGUACACCCAUUUAUCAUAAAUUACACUAUUUUGUAUCUCUAAAUAAUAUUACGUAUUGAUAUUAUAAAAUAUAUAUGGAAAAGAGAACAAAGAAGAUUUCUUAUGGUUUGAAAAUAUUAUGAAUUCUGCUGUUGAACAGUAUGGAAACAAGGUCUCUGUUGUUAAAGGUGAAGAAGCAACAGGGAACAAUAUUGAAGGAAGAAAUUUCACAUGUUUAGUUGCUGAAUUUGCCGCUGUAUUCUAUCGGUAGUAAAAAAAUUAGAGUUUUUAUUUUUCUCUAUUAAUGUUAAGUCAAUUUUCUAUAACAAAUUCGGUUGAGUUUAAUUGUGUUACAAUAUAAAUUGAAUGAUAAUAGAAUUUUCAACGAAUAUUUCAAUAUUUCUAUCUCGAUUGUUGAAGUGCCAUUUAUUUGUUAUGCGAUCGAUUUUAAAAUUUAUAAAAAUUAUUUGUUACUAAAUUGCAUCAUAUGCUAAAAUCACCUGAAACCUAAUUCCAUAACUAACCCUUUAUUUUUAGUUCUCAAGAAAUCUUGUAAGAACAAAAUUCUUUUAUAACAAAACUUUUACAACACAUUAAUUUGUAACUCAUUCCUGUGCGAGAAUCACUCUCAAAUUCCUUCAAUUGCUGUUGAACAAUCAUCUGCUUAUCAAAAUUCAAGCAUAAUCUUUUCUUUUUUUUAAUUUCUUCAUCAUUCUUUUGAAAAAAAAAAAUCAGGAUAUGCUGUUAAAAUUUUGAAAUAAAUUAUCUCAAAAUAAUUACUAACCAGAAAAAACAAAGGGGUUUAACUAGGUUAUGCAUACCUUUGAAAAUUAUAUGUUGAUCGAUAAGAAUGAUGAUCACGAUUGAGGAGUUUAAUUAAAAUAUAUAAGAUUUUAAAAUUAAUCAGGGUUAAAUUGUGAAUUUUAGAAAGAGAGGUUUUGUGAGAAUGCUGAAAGGGUGUUAAUAGUUCCACUCUUUUUAAAAGCAACCAUAGUCAUCAUUUUUCCCGAUUUCUUCUUCCCAUCUCCAUCUUAUUUAGAAAUUUCCCAGAGCCUUUGUUUCCCACCUUUCAUUGUUCUUCUUUCUAAUUUAAUACUAUAGGAUUACAAAAAUAAUUACUCACAUUUUAUCAAACACCUCCAUUCUACCAAGGCCUUGUUUUAGUAGUAGGCUUUUAUUAUCUCAAUAAAAUUGAAAAAACAAAUCUCAAUAAUAUUGGAAAAAAAAAACCUACCCAUAUUUGUAACUUUAAUUUAUUAUUCUCCAUAGACCUACUUUUUAGCUUUGAAUUUUGUUGGAGCCAUAUAUAAACAGAAUAUGUUGAAUCAGCACCAAAAAAAAAAAAAAAAAACUAAUUAUAUAAUUUCUGUUCCCAAGGACAUGACUGAUUGAUUUUCAAGAAGUUUUGUUUGGCUGGCUACUUAGGUUUAAAUCUUGGUGGAGAUUAGGGGUUAAGAAAUAAAUUUGGACUUUGCACACCCCUUUAACUUUUAAAAAGAAAUGAAAAAAACUAAUUAAUUAAUCUUUAUUUUAUUUAUUAAAUAUCAUAAUCCUAUGCGUAUUUUAUUUGUUAUCUUUCUAUUUAAAAGACAGGAGGGCAGAUAAAACUGAAAUAAAUUUUUAGCCCUAUCUCCAUCUUUCAAGUUCCAUAGUUAGGUGACCAGGUAAAGAAAAUUAAUUGAAAGCUACUCCAUCAAAUUAAAAAAUUUUAUUUAUUUAAUUUGUGGAGAUGUAGAAAAUCAAACCCCAUGCCUUUUCGCGUGGAAAAGUGUCAACCUGGUCUAGCUAUGUUGCAAAAGUGAACAUAUUUUAAUACAUGACUAUCAUCCUUUAUCCUAAAUACUACUAUAACUAAUAACAUACAAUUGAAAUAAUUAAUGUUAACACUUGGCUAUAAAUAAAGGUUUUGUGCUUGAAUCUUCACGCAUGACCUUCAUUCCUUUAUUUACUUUGCUAACACAGAUUUUGAGGCAUUAAAACUAAAUAAUAAUUGACUUUGUGGGCCGAGGAUGCCAGCAACAAGGAGACCACAAUUAUCACUUGUUAAGUUACUCUAAUUGCCGUUGUCUUAUAUUCAUAGAAUAUUAGUAAUAAGAUUAUUGUAGAAUUUUUUUAUAUUAAAAUUAAGUCAAUUUGUUAUAACAAAUUUAGUUGAGUUUAAUCGUGUUACCACAUAAAUUGAAUAAUAAUAAAAUUCUCGACAAAUAUUUCAAUAUUUUUAUCCCAAGCGUUGGAGUGGCAUUUAUUUGUUAUACGAUCAAUUUUAGAAUUUAUAAAAUUAUUCGUUACUGAAUUGCACCAUAUGCUGCAUGACCUGAAACUUAAUAAACGGAACGUAGCGUUGGCACCGUUACUCAACAUACUGUUACGACUUUGUGACAUUAGAAUUAAAAUCUUUUGCACAUUUAAUUUGUUUACUUCCAAAUUAAUAUUUAACAAAAUAUUUUUUCACAUUAUCAAUGGACAAAACUCCAACGAAAAUAACUACACAAGAAAAAUGUAUGCUAGUAUUGUGUGCCAUAUCAUCUGUAAUUUUGUCAGGAUCGAUCAUUCUAAUUUUUAAGCAGAACUUUUUAUCAAUGGACAAACACCUCACACAGCUUGUCAGAGGCAUUAUUAUGAUGGAAAACUGUAAUGGUAUAUCUUGAAUUAUUGGUAGAAUAGUUCUUUGGAGCAAUAAAAACAGAUAAGACAGAUGAGAAAAUUGUCAAUACCCCACCGCAAAAGCAAAAGAAAAAAAGGAAAGGAGACAAAAGAGGAAGAAGAAAAAGAAAAAAGAACGAAGAAAAAAAUGGUGCCGCGCGGUAUAGGCAAGAAGAAAAAAUAAUAAUAAAAUAAUAAAAUAAUAGUGCACAACAGUCAUUUGAUUGCUAUAAAUAAAGGGGCAUUUCCCUCAUUUUAUUCAUCGAAUUCUUCAGUUCCUAAGCGAUUUAAGAGUCUAGUGAUUUGAGAGUUUGGGUAUAGUAUAGUUUUGAGUAGUGAGUUAAAAUAUUACAAUACUUAUAACUUAUUUUUACUAAUAAAAUAUUUUUCUUCUAUCUUCACCCGUGGACGUAGGGUCAAAGCCGAAUCACAUAAUUUUUAGUAUCCCUAUGUGAUUAUGUAUCUCAUUAUUUUUCAAUUUUACUUUAGUUACGUGUCUGCUACAUCCUUCAAUUUACUAACAAAAAUGGCCAAAAUUAUAUAAGUGACCCAAAUUUUUUUGCUAUUUCCAAGAAAUCUCCAAUCUGAAUGGGCCAGACCAGAGGGAGGCAAGUUAGAAAUACGUUUCCUUCAUAGACAAUAACAGCGAUGAGUCGAUGACAUCGAGCCACGUCGGUAUCAAUAUUGAAUUAAAGGUGCAAUUAUUCAGCCAAUGAGCCUUACACAUCAAGAUAAAAGUCAAGAAAAUGAAUAUUUAUCCUAAUUAAAACACUUUCUGGCUGCAUUUAGUUGUUUCCAUUUGAAGUUAAAAGCAACGUUUCUUUCGUUUUGUGGGCAACUCGACUCAGUUAGCUGGCUUCUAGUGCUAGUAAGUGAAAAUAGAAGGCUAAUGAUUUAUUUGUUAUCUUUUGAUAAAAUUAUUAAAGAUAUAAUAGAUUUUUCAUGAUACAAAUAAAAAAUCACAUCAACAUAGCUUCCAAAGUACAACAGCUAAUGUUUACCAAACACUUUGUUGUAGCUUUUAAGCUACAGCUGCCCAACUUUAAUUUCAAAUGCACCCUUAAUAGGUUGAUUGAAUUUGUGGGAUAUAGAUUCCACAUAUCGUAUGACCUAGUAACUAUACAAGUGGUUCGUGAUCAAGACACAACAUUUGCUUCCGGCCCGGUGACCCAGCAAUCGCUGCAUUGGUCGCCACCUAUGGUGCCAACGAUAUUGCAUGGUCCAAUUGUGGCCUUGAAUGGAAAAAGUUGAGCAAAUUAUUUGUGGACACGAUGAUAAGUAACGCAAGCCUUGAUGCUAGUUAUGGUCCAAGAAAACAAGAGAUAUGCAUAACAACAAAAAGGAAAAAAAAAAAAAAAAAAAAAAAGGCAUUUGCAAGCCCAUUGAUAUUGGUGAAUUGUCGAUUUCAACUUUGGCAUGUGUAAUCCAGAGCCUGCGCGCUGUGGUGUGGCGCUGGCACGCUUGCAUUGACGAGGGGACAAGUCUUGGGGCUGAGCUAACAUUUAAGCUCGCAGAACUCAUGGUGCUAAUGGGAACACCAAAUAUUUUUUGACAUAUUUUGGUGCUUUCAUGGUUUAAUUCAAGGUAUAGAAAGGAGUGUUGAGAAUGUCAAAUAAAACGGUAUUGAAUGGAAGUUGUUAAAGACACGAUCCGCACCGAACGACAACAGCACGGUUGCUAAAAAUCCUUCCGUAAUAGGCAUAUCUAAUUUUUGAAAAAGUGUAACCUCUACAUUUAUAAAUAUACUCAAUGUAUAAUGUUUUACUUAAGAAAUGAAAAACUUGUUUGUUCAAGGAGAAUAAAGAAAAAUUUUCUAUGAUUUUUCUAUGGUUUGAACAAAGAAGGUUUUAACGAGUAUUAUAGACCUCGAUUGAAUGUUCGAAUGUAUAAUAAAAGAGAAACUGUCACAUAAAUGACAAAGAUACUUGAAAAAAAAAAAAAAGGGCAGCAAUAGAGAAUUAGAUCCGACUGUACAAAUAACUAGUUAAUUCAUCGAUACAUCAUUUUCUUGCUAGAAAAUGACAAUUAUGACAGCAAGCCACGAUAGUGUCAAUAUUGAAAUUGAUUUGCAAUUAUUCAGCCUAUGAGCCUUACACGUCAAGAUAAAAGUCAAGAAAAUGAAAGUUAAUAUCAAUUAAAACACUUCCAUUUCUAUGUGAAGUUAAAAAACAACGUUUCUUUUGUUUUGUGGGGGAUUCAACUGAGCACGCGCCACUAGCUAGCUGGCUUCUAGUUCUAGCAUAUGAAAACAGAAUUCUAAAGAUUUCACUUUCACCUUUUUUCUUUUUUUGGGGUUUUGAAUCAAAGUCAAGGUCGCACUGAAUAAUAUGUAAAAUUUGAAAAAGAAGAAUUAAUAGAGAACAAAGUUUUGUUUUAAAUUCACAUGGUGUGCAUACAAUUCAACAAACACUUCCUAUAAUAAAUCUGGAGUUGUAUCCCACGUUGAACAAUAAAGGAAAGUCACCUAAAUAUACAUGUAGGAUAAGUUACUUUAUUUAGUAAGUUUGUAUUUUCUUCUUUCUUCUAGUUUACAUAUAAAUUUGAUUAGAUAACUUAACACAUAUUUUAAUACUUGAUCAGAAGCCCGACGUACAGGUGGAUCUAGAAACUUGAUUUCUAAGAGUAAUACUAUAAUAAAAAAAUAAUGAUUCAUAGAACCAAUAUCAAAAUUUGUUUACAAGAUUGCCCCCACUCAAAGGUAAUUUUCAUAGAAAUUAAUAGGAAAUUUAAUUGUUAGUGGGGUCAAAUUGCCCCCACACUCUGAAUGUAGAUCCACGCCCGACCCUGAGUCAAGUAUAUUUUGCCACAUAUACUCUGAAUGUCGGCAGGAAAAAUCUUCCACUUUAGUUAAAAAUUUUCACUUAAAAAAUAUUUAUGUUAAUAAAGUUCGUAAAGGAAAUGAGUUUAAUUAAUGAAUAUUAUAGGAGAAAUUAAAGGAAAUGAGUUUAAUUAAAGAAUAUUAUAGGAGAAAUUCUAUUGUUCGGCUUUUAAUAAAUUAAUUAAUAGGUUUAAAAGAUUAAUAUACAUCAAAAUAUUAUUAGUUGGUGGGGGUUCCACAUCGGACUAAUACGUGUCACCUUACUUGUGAGAUUAAGACAAUCGACUUAGACUAUUUAAAUAUGUUUGAAGCUUAGAUGGCACCGCUUCAAUUUGCAUUACUGAAUGUCAUUCUUUAUCCUAAUUACUACCGUAAUUGAUAACAUGCAAUUGAAGUAACUAAUAUUAGCACUUGGCUAUAAAUGAACUAAAGGCCGUGCAAUUGAAUCUUUACUUGAUCACUUCACUCCUUUAUUUUGCUAACACAGAUUUUGAGAUAUUAAAACGAAAUAAUAAUUGAAUCUGGCUUUGUGGGUCGAUGAUGCUAGCAAAAACGAGACCACAAUUAUCACUUGUUUAUUUGCUGUAUUUGACGUUGUUUCAUAUUGGUAGUAAUAGGGUCAGUUUUUAAUCUUUUUAUAUUAAAGUUAAGUCAAUUUGUUAUCAAAAAAAAAAAUUGGUUGAGUUUAAUUAUAUUGCUAUGUACAUUAAAUAAUUAUAAUAUUCUUGAGGGAAAAAGACACCUAGAACCUCAAGGUUUGGGGAAAUGGUCACAAAGACUCCUAAGUUUUAAAAAAGGAACACUAAGAUCUUUUUUUACCCAUAAUACCCUUUGACUAGAGUAAUUAAAAAAUUGACUUUAAAGGUUUUUAAAUAAUUCUAAUUUAAUAUAAAUCAUAUAAUCUAUCUAGUAAACUAAUAAUAUUAAAUUAUUUUUUAUAUUUAAAAUAAUGUUAAAUUUUAAAUUAUUAUAUUUAUAAAAUUAUAAAGAUUUUAAAUAAAUAUUUGGAUUGAAUAUAUUUUACAAUUAAAAGUCUUCCUAUUAAUAAUAUUAAAAUUUAAUUUUACAAAAUAUAUAUUCAAAAUAUUUUUAAUUUUAAUUUAUUUAUUUUAAUAUUAUGUUUCUACCUAUUAUUAAAAAUUACUUUAAUAUAAUAAAAUAGGUCUAAUAGAUUGAAAAAUAUGAAAAUAUUUUUAAAAUUUUAAAUUAUUUUGAAAUGUAUAUAUUAUUACAUUUAUUUCAAUGUCAUAUUUUCAUUUAUUAUAAAAUUUUGGGGUUAUUUUUUUGGGAAUUUAUAGAGUCAAAGAGCAUUAUAAUUUAAUCCAUGCACAAUAUCUAUAAUUAUAUCGGUUGUCGGCUGAUUUCGUGGAGGGGGCGGCAGUUCAAAAUUUUUACGUGCAUGUUGGAUGGACGUCUCUAUUAAAGGAGAGCCACCACUUGCAUGGUAAUUUUUUUAAAUAAAUAUAUACAUUUCAAAACAUUAUUUUCUUGUUGUAUAGUUAACAUGUCACCUUAGAUGUAUUUUAGAGCUUCUCCUAUUAAAGAUAAUCUCAUGCAGUGUUACAGAGUAUGGUAAUAUGGUAUAGAUGAGAGCAUCUGAUUAAAUGAAGCAGCUGGUAAUGCUUACGUGUGUGAGUUAGUUAUCCAGCUCAGCAGCAAAGCAAACGAAAUGAAUUGCAUGCAUAUUAGAUCCAACAAACUGGUAAACUCUAGAUUCUUCUUUCAUUUAGUAUAAAUACCAAGUUGUUAUCAUUUGCUAAAUAUAUAAUAAGAUGAUCAUUUUCAGAUCUUUCCUUUAUAAUUUUCUAUAACUUUCUCGUUAGUUUCUCUUGAACCAAACACUUUGUACGAACUCUUUCGUGCAGUGAUACUUCUCGUGAUCUAAUCAUUAGUAGAAUCUAUAAUUUCGCUACUGUAAUAAAAUCUGUCACUACCCUAUAUGAAUGUAGAUAUUUGACGCGAUUUGUAAUUGCUUCCGACAGGAAAACAGCAAUAGUUUUAUUGAAAUUUGUGGUAUAGAUUCCACGAAUCUUAUGACAGAAUACUGACCACUCCAACCCUAUCCGCAUUUACACGAUUAAUACACAAGCUUAGAUGUGACAAUGCAUUUGUCACUCAUUCAAAUUCAUCCUGAAACACUAUACACUAAAUAAUCGAAUAUGGCUUCGUGGGUCGAUGAUGCUAGCAGCAACGAGACUGCAAUUAUCACUUGUUUUGUUGCUGUACUUGUCGUGGUCUAUUUCGCAUGGAAUGUAAACAAAUCAAGUAAAGCAAAUGCUAAAUUGCCACCAGGACCUCGGGGCUUGCCAGUAGUCCGAUACCUCCCAUUUCUUGGAACUACUGACUUACACAAGACAUUCACGGAGUUAUCUGGAGUUUAUGGUCCGAUCUUCAAGAUUUGGCUUGGGAAUAAAUUGUGUGUAGUGGUGACCUCGCCUACCCUAGUUAAACAAGUGGUCCGUGAUCAAGAUAUAACAUUCUCAAACCGCGACCCACCGAUCGCUGGAACUGUGACCACCUACGGUGGCAAUGAUAUUGCACUUUCCAAUUACGGUCCCGAAUGGAAAAAGUUGCGAAAAUUAUUUGUGAGCAAGAUGAUGAGUAAUGAGACCCUUGAUGCUUGUUAUGCUCUAAGAAAACAAGAGGUUAAAAAUACUAUCAGGGAUUUGUAUAACAACAAUAAGGAUAAUAUUGGCAAUGGCAAUGGCAAGCCCAUUGACGUUGGUGAAUUGUCGAUUUCAACUUUGGUACGUGUUAUGCAGAACAUGCUGUGGGGUCAAGCAUUGGAAACAAGAGAGAAAGAGAUUACUAAUCUCGGGGCUAAUCUUGCAGAACUCAUGGUGCUACUGGGAACACCAAAUAUUUCGGAUAUUUUUCCAGUGCUUUCAUGGCUUGACAUGCAAGGUAUAGAGAGAAGAGCUAAGAAGAUUUCUCUAUGGUUUGAAAAUAUUAUCAAUUCUGGUGUUGAACAGUAUAGAAACAAGUUCUCUGUUGUUAAAGGUGAAGAAGCUGCAGCACGAAAAAAUAUUGAACGAUCAAGAAAUAAGGACUUCUUGCAGUUGCUGUUGGAGCUUCAGGAAAAUGAAGAUAGUGCUUCAUCUAUUAGCAUGAACCAACUAAAGGCCGUGCUCGUGGUAUGUUAAGCAACUAGACACAAAAAGUUGUAAAAGCACAGCGAUAUAUUUGCGCGAGGCCCCGAGUGAUGUUUUGCCUCGAGAACUCUCAAUUUUAUCUUACGGUAAAAAAUGUUUUUCAACUUUUUUUUUUAAUUAGAAUUUUAUUGCAAUUUAUUUAACAGGACAUAAUUGUGGCCGGAACCGACACCACAACUACGAUGGUGGAAUGGACAAUGGCAGAGUUGAUGCAACAUCCACAAGUAAUGAAGAAAGUUCAAGAAGAAUUCGCUCAAGCUGUGGGCAUGGACAGUUGUGUUGAAGAAUAUCACUUGCCUAAAUUAAAGUAUUUAGAUGCUGUGGUGAAAGAAACAUUUCGUUUGCAUCCUGCGUUGCCCUUAUUGGUACCUCGCACGGCAAGCAAGAAUAGCAACAUUGGUGGCUAUACCAUUCCCAACGACACUAAUCUUAUGUUGAAUGUUUGGGCUAUCCACAGGGACCCUCAACUUUGGGAUAAUCCCUUAGAAUUUCGACCUGAGAGGUUCUUGAAUGAUGGUAUCAUAAGCAAUUUCAAUUACUCGGGUAACAAUUUUCAGUACUUGCCAUUUGGUUCUGGUAGAAGGAUGUGCGCUGGGAUUGCUCUAGCUGAGAGGAUGUUGAUGCUUGUUCUGGCUUCGUUGUUGCACUUGUUUGAGUGGAAAUUGCCCUCGGGCACAAAGCUAGACUUAUCUGAAAAGUAUGGGAUUGUCAUGCGGAAAAAAGAGCCUCUAAUUGCUAUUCCAACACCAAGGCUACCAAAUUCAGAUCUCUACCAGUAAGAUCAAAAUGGUUUUGAUAAUAUUAUUUCCCAUUGUAUUGGAUUUGAAGUUCAAUCAUAAUAAAAUAUUUUAAUAAAAUGUCCUCGGUUGCUAAUUUUUCAAUAGUAUAAUCUGCACCUGUCUUUUAUAGCAAUUUGGUCUAAUUUAUUUUUGAAUUAAAAUCCAUAAAUAUUUAUAUUUUUUUAAUUAUAUUAGGAAUUAUGUGGGGUGUAUGGUCUGAUCUUCGAGCUAUGCCUUGAAAACAAAUUAUGCAUAGUCGUGCACACGCUUUCCCUAAUUAAGUUUGUGGUUCGUGCUCAAGGCACAGCAUUCACCCCCCGCGACCCAACAAUCGCUACAUUGUUCCCCACCUAAAGUGCCAACAUAUUGCAUAAGUAACGCAAAAUAUGGUCCCCAAUGGAAAACGUUGCGCAAAUUAUUUCUGGGCAAGAUGAUAAGUAACGCAAGCCUUGAUGCUUGUUAUGGUCUAAGAAAACAAGAGGUUAAAAAUACUAUCAGAGACAUAUAUAAAACAACAACAGAAAAAAUUGGCAUUAUCAUCGAUAAUGGUGAGUUGUGGAUUUCAACUUUGGUAUGUUUAAUUCAGAACCCGCAGUGGGGUGGCGCUAGCACGCCUGCGUUAGGAGACGAGGGGACCAAUCUUGGGGCCGAGCUAAAAUAUAGGCUUGUAGAGCUCAUGCUGCUAAUGGUAAUGGGAACACCUACUAUUUCGGAUACUUUUCCGAUGCUGGUUUAAUUCAUGGUUUAGAAAGGAGAACAAAGAAGAUUUUUCGAUGCUUUGAAAAUAUUAUAAUUUUUAUAAAAUCUCUUAUUGAUAACUAAACAACUAAAAUUUCUGUAAAGUUUUUGUGGACUUUUGAUCUCCUAUGGUGCCAAUAUUUUCGACUAAUUUUUUCCUUCAAUUAAUGAUGUUGGUUGAGAAAGACUAUUUUUCUUGCAAUAAUAUAGUAUUCGUGGUCCUAUUAGGGUUCCGAAUGGAGAAAGUUGCACUAAGUUUUUUGAGUACCAAAUGAUGAGUAAUGUACGUAAGCCUUGAUGGUAGUUAUGGUCUAAGAAAACAAGAGGUUAAAAAUACUAUCUGGGAUUUGUACAACAAUAACAAAAUUGGCAAGCCCAUUGACAUUGGUGAAUUGUCAGUUUCAACCUUGGUAAGUGUUUUCAGAACAUGCUGUGGGGUGAAGCGCUUGGAAUAAGAAAGAAACGGAUGACGAAUAUUGGGGCUGAGCUUAGAUUUAAACUUGCAGAACUCAUGGUGCUGUCAGGAACACCGAAUAUUUCGGAUAUCUUUCCAGUGCUUUCAUGGUUUGAUAUACAAGGUUUUGAGAGAAUAGCAAAGAAGAUUUCUCUAUGGUUUUAAAAUAUUAUCAAUUCUACUGUUGAACGCUAUAGAAACAAGGUCUCAGUUGUUAAAAGUGAAGAAGAAGACGCAGCAGCAGCAGCAGCAGGGAACAACAUUGAAGGAAGGAAUAAGGACCUGGUGCAGUUACUCUUGGAGCUUCAAGGUAAAGAAGAAAAUGCUUCAUCAAUUAACAUGACGCAAUUUAAGAGCUUGCUCGUGGUAUGUUUGCGCAACUAGCCACAGACAGUUACAGAAACUGAGUUUGGCAGAUUACGACCGUUUCUGGUGAUUAUAUAACUAUUUGUGGCUGUUUUUUGUUUUUUUUUUCUUUUAAUUGGAAUUUUAUUGUAAAUUUCUUAACAGGAUAUAAUUUAGGGUGGAACCAACACCACAACUAUAAUGGUGGAAUGGACAAUGGCAUAAUUGAUACAGCAUCCACAAGUAAUGGAGAAUGUAAAGGUAGAACUAAGUCGGGCCGUGGCCAUUGACAGCCAUGUUGAAGAAUUUCACCUACCUAAGUUAAAAUAUUUAGAUGUUGUGGUGAAAGAAACAUUCCGCACGAUAAUAUAAUAUAUGAAUCAUAUAUCCUCUAUUGGUUUUUUGCUCCUUUUUUUUUCAAUAGCUUAAUCUAUCAUUAAAAUCUUCUGAAAUUCUAAAUUAAUAUACAUUCAACCUAGAGUUCAACCCAAAGUUUUAUUGAGCAUUAAAAAAAAAAAUUCUACGACUAAAAAUUUUACAGAGUAUAAAUUAAAAAUUAUGCGCCUACUAACAGACAAAAAACAAUUGAUACACAUUCACCAAUCAAAGGCAAACAAGAGAUUAUUAACAAUAACUUAAUAAUAAAAUUAUAAGGAAUCAAAUAGAAAUGGUACCUAGAAACACAUCACGCCAUUUAAUCAAUCACUUACCCAUAAAAUCCAAACUUAUAAACUAUUAAGGGGGGGAAAUGGAUACCUUUGGGUUUCAUUAAAUCAAAAUUACAACACCAUUAAAUACUCAAAAAUGAAAAAAAAAAAAUCAUACCCAAUAAAAGAGAAAAAAAUAACCCACAAAAAAAAUCAUCAAGAAAAUAAAUUUGAGACUAAGAGAAGAUAUUAAUUAACGCCUGGGUUGCAUUGGAACCACGGCUUUGGCUUCCAUUUUUCAAUUCUUGGUCACAAGUGAUUUCUUGUUUGUUUGCAAUGAUGACGGUUGAUUAAUGAAGCUCUAUUAACAAUGAAUGAAUCAAAAAACUUGAGCCUUGAAAAGACUAACGGUCAUAUUUUUCAACUCCGAAUUAGUGGCGUUUGAUGAGUCCUUGCCAAAACAAUCACUCGGCAGAUAACGAUCAUUUUUCAACCAGCAAAACUCAUUCAUUGUUUUUCACCUUAGUGAAGAUUUAAAAAUUGUUUCAAAAUAGGAUUCUUAAAAAAAUAAUAAUAAAAUGAUAUUUAACUUAAUUCUAACUUAGGAAAACAAAAUAUCUACACUCCCAAAGUUUGGAGAAAUGGUCAUUAAUAUCCCCAACUUUCCAAAAAGAGACACCAAGAACCCUUUUAACCAUAAUACUAUUUACUUCUAUUAUCCCAAAAAACAAUUGACUCUAAUAUUUUAUAAUAAAUAAAAAUAUAACAUUAAAAUAAAUGUAAUAGUAUAUACAUUUUAAAAUAGUUUCAAUAUUUAAAAAGCAUUUUAAUAUUUUUAAAUUCUAUUUUAUAUAUAUUGAUUAUUUUAAAGUAAAUUUUAUAAUAAAUAGAAUCAUAAUAUUAAAAUAAAUGCAUUAAAAUUUAAAUUAUUUUGAAUAUUAUGUAAAAUAAUAAUUUUAACAUUAUUAGUAUAUGAGAAUUUUUUUAAUUGUAGAAUGCAUUUAAUGCAAAUAUUUAUUUAAAAUCUCUACAAUAAAUAAAAAUAUACUAUUAAAACAAAACUCUACAAUACAUACAUACAUACAUAUACAUUGGCCUGGUAUUUUUAUUUUUCAUUUUUAAACUUAUUAAAUCCUCUAACUAUCAUUUGAUUUUUUUUUUUUUUCAAUGAUCAAGAGGUCAUUGCCGGAUAAAUGAUUAAAAUCAACUAGUUCUACAAGAAUAUCUCUUUUUAAAGGAAGAUGAUUCUCUCUCUCGAAAUUUUUUUAUCUCGUGCUACAAACUAAAAACUUAUGCCACUUCAUUAACCACAAAGAUCUUUGAGGAAAUGAUGCUUCCCUCCCCCCCCCCCCCCCCCCCCCUCCCACAAAAAAAAAAAAGAGUCCUUCCAUAUUGUGUGAAGGCUAAUAUAUCGAUGAAUCUAGAUUUCUUUAAAUUUUUUGUUUUACUCAAUUCGAGAUAAUAAUUCAAUCCAUGCAAAUAUCUAUCAUUGUAUGAGCUGACCAGUUAAUAGGUUGAUUGAAUAUAUGUGGUAAAGAUUCCACGUAUCUCAUGACAGAAUGCUGACCACUGGAACCCUAUCUACUUUUACGCGAUUAAUUCACGAGCUUAGGCACAACAAUUGCAAUACAAAUUAUCCCCUCAUCGUAUAUUUCGUUAAAAUUCAUUCUGAAGCAGUAAAACUAAACAAUCGAAUAUGGCUUUGCGGGUCGAUGAUGCCAGCAGCAAUGAGAGUGCAAUUAUCACUUGUUUAGUUUCUGUGCUUGCCGUGGCUUAUUUCGCAUGGAAUGUGAAAAAAUCAAGGAAAGCAAAUGCUAAACUGCCACCAGGAACUCGCGGCUUGCCUGUAGUCGGAUACCUCCCAUUUCUCGGGACUACUGACUUGCACAAGAAAUUCACGGA